GAUGAACGCUGGCGGCGUGCCUAAUACAUGCAAGUCGAGCGAACGGACGAGAAGCUUGCUUUUCUGAUGUUAGCGGCGGACGGGUGAGUAACACGUGGAUAACCUACCUAUAAGACUGGGAUAAAUUCGGGAAACCGGAGCUAAUACCGGAUAAUAUUUUGAACCGCAUGGUUCAAAAGUGAAAGACGGUCUUGCUGUCACUUAUAGCUGGAUCCGCGCUGCAUUAGCUAGUUGGUAAGGUAACGGCUUACCAAGGCAACGAUGCAUAGCCGACCUGAGAGGGUGAUCGGCCACACUGGAACUGAGACACGGUCCAGACUCCUACGGGAGGCAGCAGUAGGGAAUCUUCCGCAAUGGGCGAAAGCCUGACGGAGCAACGCCGCGUGAGUGAUGAAGGUCUUCGGAUCGUAAAACUCUGUUAUUAGGGAAGAACAUAUGUGUAAGUAACUGUGCACAUCUUGACGGUACCUAAUCAGAAAGCCACGGCUAACUACGUG
Molecule: ribosomal RNA, 497 nt
Filed under: uncultured bacterium
Lineage: Bacteria
Description: partial 16S ribosomal RNA
Rfam family: Bacterial small subunit ribosomal RNA
Source: RNAcentral